This 479-nucleotide ribosomal RNA is filed under the name uncultured bacterium. Its description in RNAcentral is "partial 16S ribosomal RNA". It matches the Rfam family "Bacterial small subunit ribosomal RNA", at positions 28 to 507 of the family's 1533-position model. The record is from RNAcentral.
GAUGAACGCUGGCGGCGUGCUUAACACAUGCAAGUCGAACGAAACACUUUAACCUGAUUCUUCGGCUGAAGGUUUUUGUGACUGAGUGGCGGACGGGUGAGUAACCCUUGGGUAACCUGCCUCAUACAGGGGGAUAACAGUUAGAAAUGACUGCUAAUACCGCAUAAGACCACAGAGCCGCAUGGCUCGGUGGGGAAAACUCCGGUGGUAUGAGAUGGACCCGCGUCUGAUUAGGUAGUUGGUGGGGUAACGGCCUACCAAGCCAACGAGCAGUACCCGACCGGGGAGGGUGACCGGCCAGAAUGGGACUGAGGCCCGGCCCCAACUCCGACGGGAGGCAGCAGUGGGGUAUACUGCACGAUGGAGGCAACACUGAUGCAGCCGCGCCGCGGGAGCGAAGAAGUAGGUUGGUAAGUAAAGCUCUAUCAGCAGGGAAGAAAAUGACGGUACCUGGAGAAGAAGCACCGGCUAAAUACGUG